This 3680-nucleotide long non-coding RNA is filed under the name Danio rerio (zebrafish). Its description in RNAcentral is "protein kinase cGMP-dependent 2, like (ENSDARG00000098342.2)". The record is from RNAcentral. Lineage: Eukaryota; Metazoa; Chordata; Actinopteri; Cypriniformes; Danionidae.
AUGGGAGGCUUUGGACGCGUAGAGCUGGUCAAGCUUAAAGAUUCAGAAGACACAGCAUUUGCCUUAAAGUGCAUUAAGAAAAAGCACAUUGUGGACACCAGGCAGCAAGAGCACAUCUAUUCAGAAAAGAUCAUUCUUCAACAGACCAAUUCAAACUUUAUUGUAAGGUUGUUCCGGACAUUUCGAGAUGAUAAGUUUGUUUACAUGCUGCUUGAGGUUUGCCUGGGAGGAGAACUCUGGAGCUUAUUAAGGGACAUGAGUUGCUUUGAUGAGCCCACGGCCCGCUUCUGCACUGGAUGUGUGCUGGAGGCUUUUGAUUAUCUUCAUGGCAAAGGCAUCGUCUACCGAGACCUGAAGCCAGAGAAUCUUCUUCUGGAUGCCGAAGGCUAUGUCAAAAUGGCUGAUUUUGGCUUUGCCAAAAAGAUUGGACUAGGUAAGAAGACUUGGACAUUCUGUGGCACUCCCGAGUAUGUGGCUCCUGAGGUCAUCAUGAAUAAGGGUCAUGACUUUGGAGCAGACUGUUGGUCCUUGGGCAUUCUCAUCUUUGAACUCUUGAUUGGAAGCCCUCCAUUCACAGGGUCUGAUCCAAUCAGGAUUUAUACCAUGGUUCUUCAUGGAAUAGAGAAAGUAGACAUUCCUAAGAGGAUCAGCAAGCGUCCAGAAGAUCUCAUACGGAGACUUUGCAAACUCAAUCCAGCAGAACGGCUUGGGAAUAAAAAGAAUGGCAUCAUAGAUAUAAAGAAACACAAAUGGUUUCAAGGUUUCAACUGGGAAGGAUUGAGACGCCGGAAGCUGAUGUCUCCUCUAAGGAGAGAGCUCAAGGGACCUCUGGAUCACAGCUAUUUUGACAUGUUUCCCCCUGAGCUCGAAGAGCCUCCAGAUGAAUUCUCUGGCUGGGAUAAAGACUUCUGAAAAACAAGCUGUUUUCAUAGCUUUGCUCAACUUACUUUUUUCAUACACGAUUGAUUUUGUAAGUGCUCAGAAGCUCAAAGGAGUUCUCAUCUAAAGUGAUGGUGGACUUUGUCUGUGCUGGACAACCAAAUGACUUGUUCAGAUGGACAGCAAUCUGGUCAAACCCAGUUAAAUGUAUGAUUAAAAGAUUUUUGUGGUGAUAUCUCAUUAUAAAAUGUAUAAAUAAAUCACUGUUGCCUUAAUUAUAUCUAUGCGUAAGAUGUUUAAACCUAAUUUUGAUGGAACUAACAUGUCAAUAAGUCCUUGACAAAUCAAUUAGAUGUGUUUGUACAAUGUAUGAUUUAUUUUUUGUACUUAUUCAAGUGUUACAGCUCAACACGUGUGUUAAAAUCUGUUAAAGGUGUAACUCUUGUUCCCCGAAGAUGAAGUUAGGCUAUGUCAGACCGUCAGUAUAGGGAUUUACUAUUAAUGGUCCUAAAUAAUUCAUAUUAGCCCCUUUCACACAGUGAUACCGGUAAAUAUCCGUAAAAUUUCCGGAACGACUUUACCGGUAAAUUUAAAAAAAGCCUGUUCACACAGGCGAAGACGUUGCGGAAUUUUUCCGGAAAAGAGCAUUCACACAUCCAUUCCAAAAUGCCGGUAAAUUCUGACAUCAUUUACAAGAAAUGAGCUCUAAACAGCUGCGCUUGUGUUUGUAAACAUUUGACUACAUUACAAACUCUGUGGAUGGAUCAGUAUUGAGUAAAACUCCAAUGAAAACAUAGAGAAACACUUUCGCUUGUCGAGAUGUUUAUGAUAUGUGUGUGUGCUGGCACUAUGGGCGCUCACGGGCACACGAAAAGUUUGAAGGUAAACAAACAACGGAUUAUCAUAAAUAUUUUAUCGAUAAUUAUUUACACAGUUAGCAUUAAGUAGGAACAUAGAAACGUUAUCUUACUAACAUCUAGCAGCUAAAGGUGUCUGGAAAAAUAUUCAAAGGCUUUUAUUCGCAUAAACCGCGCGCACGUGAAUGCGUCUGACUGUUCUGAUUGGCUAAAGUAGACGUCUCAUGUCAGCACGUUCUAAACGUGUACGCGCUCUUUCCGGCAAUCUUCCUUCUGCAUUCACACAGCGCAGCAUUCCGGCAAAUUACUGGUAAUGUUACAACUUCUCUUUCUGAAAAAUAGCCGUAACGAAUUUACUGGUAUUUUCAAAAAGGGCCUGUUCACAAAUACAAAUACAAAGGUCUGUAUGUGUGAAAGGGGCUAUUGUGGACGACGCAGUGGCGCAGUCGGUAGUGCUGUCGCCUUACAGCAAGAAGGUUGCUGGUUCGAGCCUCGGCUUGGUUAGUUGGCGUUUCUGUAUGGAGUUUGCUUGUUCUCCCUGCGUUCACGUGGGUUUCCUCCGGAUGCUCUGGUUUCCCCCACAGUCCAAAGACAUGUGGUACAGGUGAAUUGGGUAAGCUAAAUUGUCCGUAGUGAAUGGGUGUGUAUGGUUGUUUCCGAGAGAUGGGUUGCAACUGGAAGGGCAUCCGCUGCGUAAAACAUAUCCUGAAUAAGUAGGGGGUUCAUUCCGCUGUGGCGACCUCAGAUUAAUAAAGAGACUAAGCUGAAAAGAAAAUGAAUGAAUAAUUUGUAUUGUAACCAACUCAAAGGGAACUGAUUUUAUACAGUUCUCACUCAAUGUUUAAUCUUUGGUUAGGUUACAAGAUGUUCUGAUUUCUGAGACAGUUUUAGAAACCAUAUGCAGAAGUUUUAUUAAUGGGUUUAGGCAGAGACAUCAGUGAGUCAACAGGUGGGAAGUUGGCAACAUAUAAGCAGUCCAAUCCAGUCAACAAACACAGGGGCAAAUCCAGACAACAUAGUGAGAGUGCAGGCAGAGGUUCAGUAUAGCAACUAGCAGUCCAAAACAGAUCAAGAUACACAGGGGCAAAUCCAGUAGACGUGGUGAGAAGGCAGGCAAAAGUUCAAGGCAACAAUAAGCAGUCCAAAACAGAGCAAUAGGGCAAAGUGAGAUAACGUACUUGAUCAAAGCAGGCAGGGUCAUACACAGGCAGGCAGUCAUGAAAGUCUCUUGGAAAACCGCUUAGUAAUCCAGGUAGCCUGGCAAUACUUCACAAGAAAGCAUUCUUCUUCUUCUUCUUGUGUGUUUUAUGGCGGUUGGCAACCAGCUUUUGGUGCAUUACCGCCACCAUCUGGAUUGGAGUGUGGAUCCGGAGUUAACUAACCCAUGUAUUAUAGUUAAACAAAGCCCCACCACAACAAAAAACAUAAAAAAUAAAUAAAAAAAAACUUUUUCCUAUACAUAUAAAUAAAUUACUAAAUAAAUCCCAACUUACUAAUGUCCCAAACUUUUGAUAUUUCUUUCUCUAUAAUACCUCUAUAUGAUAUAGAUAACUAUUCAUCUAAAUACUAAAUUCUAUUAAUCAACCCUGUGUCUUUCAAAUAGUUAUAAACAUGCAAGAAAGCAUGGCCUGAGCUGUUGCUAAAAUACAGCACAAACAGGAAGUGACUGGAGAGGGAGAGGAGCUGAGUCAGUAGUUGGGCGAGGGCUCCCUCUGCUGGCGUGGCGUUACAAUUAUAAAAUGAUCAGUAGGGCCAGACAGAAUCUGUGGACAUUUUUUGCUGUUUCUGCUGAGAAUUUUGUUAAAAAUCUGUGGAUUUAUGUGGAAUGAUUUUUAAGAGUAUGAUAAUUAAAACCUUAAUAAAUGAAAUAAAAAAUUAUAUCUUUUUAGCUUUAAUGUUUGCAUUGCAAAUCCAAUUAGAUCCACGUUAUUAGGUAAACAAAGC